CACAAGCUUAAAAUUUAAAAGACUUGACGGUACUUCAUAUCAACCUAGAGGAGCCUGUCCAAUAACCGAUAAUCCACGAUAAACCCAGCCUUUUCUAGCCAUACAGUCUAUAUACCGCCGUCGCCAGCUUACCUUAUGAAAGAAACAAAGUAGGCUCAAUAGUACCCCACUUACACGACAGGUCGAGGUGUAACUAAUGAAAAGGAUAAGAUGGGCUACAUUUUCUUUUAAACCAGAAAAAACGGACAAACUAUGAAACUAGAAACUAAAGGAGGAUUUAGCAGUAAGAUAAGAACAUUAUACUUAUCCGAAACAAACGCAACGAAGUGUGU
Molecule: ribosomal RNA, 332 nt
Filed under: Atractaspis corpulenta
Lineage: Eukaryota; Metazoa; Chordata; Lepidosauria; Squamata; Atractaspididae
Description: partial 12S ribosomal RNA
Source: RNAcentral